Molecule: ribosomal RNA, 463 nt
Filed under: uncultured Cryomorphaceae bacterium
Lineage: Bacteria; Pseudomonadati; Bacteroidota; Flavobacteriia; Flavobacteriales; Cryomorphaceae
Description: bacterial SSU rRNA
Rfam family: Bacterial small subunit ribosomal RNA
Source: RNAcentral
CCUACGUGCGGCAGCAGUGAGGAAUAUUGCGCAAUGGAGGCAACUCUGACGCAGCCAUGCCGCGUGCAGGAAGAAGGCGCUACGCGUUGUAAACUGCUUUUAUCCGGGAAGAAACCCCAGGACGUGUCCUGGGUUGACGGUACCGGAGGAAUAAGCACCGGCUAACUUCGUGCCAGCAGCCGCGGUAAUACGAAGGGUGCAAGCGUUAUCCGGAUUCAUUGGGUUUAAAGGGUGCGUAGGCGGGGCGUUAAGUCAGUGGUGAAAUCCUGCAGCUCAACUGUAGACUUGCCAUUGAUACUGGCGCUCUUGAGUGCGCUUGAAGUGGGCGGAAUGUGCCGUGUAGCGGUGAAAUGCUUAGAUAUGGCACAGAACACCAAUUGCGAAGGCAGCUUACUAAGGCGAUACUGACGCUGAGGCACGAAAGCGUGGGGAUCAAACAGGAUUAGAUACCCUAGUAGUCCCU